AGAACGAUAAAUCUGUCUUAAUCAAGUUGACCCGCCGAGUAAGAGAUAAAACAGACAAAUAAUAACCAAAUGAAUCAAAACCAACAGCUGUGGUGAUUUUAUUCGAAUUUCUUCGUUUGUUUGGCCGAUAAUUUUUCGGACGUUUCUCCAUUUUCCGGGUUUGCGGAAAUUUUAAUAUCCGAAUUACUAAAUCGGCUGGAGACUGGCCGUAAGAACCGAAUUUUUCGUGACGUGGACUGCGAUUUUGGUACGGUGAUGUUUCGCCUCGGUCCUCCAAUUUCAAUUCUAAUUAUUUUCUACCACAUUCGAUUUUUAGUCCACCAAAAAUAUAGGAAAGAGUCGAAUCUAAACCUUCCAAUCCGCUGUCGUUACUGUAGACCGAGAGUAAAUUUCAAACUCUUUCCUAUAUUUUUCGCGGACUUUUACUUUUCCGAACAGAGGUAUGGCGCACCGAUGUCGUUCCAACUUAACCAUCGCC
Molecule: long non-coding RNA, 478 nt
Filed under: Androctonus crassicauda
Lineage: Eukaryota; Metazoa; Arthropoda; Arachnida; Scorpiones; Buthidae
Source: RNAcentral